This 336-nucleotide ribosomal RNA is filed under the name uncultured Cercozoa. Its description in RNAcentral is "bacterial SSU rRNA". The stretch from base 111 to 336 matches the Rfam family "Eukaryotic small subunit ribosomal RNA", at positions 731 to 955 of the family's 1831-position model. Lineage: Eukaryota; Cercozoa. RNAcentral also lists the same sequence under 1 other name. The record is from RNAcentral.
GACUUGUGUGCGCCUGCAUUCUGCGGUCACUUCCCAAAAGGGUUGUCCGACAUGCGGUGUAGGCGCCGUCAAACCUUCAACUGGAUCGCGUCUGGGCUUCAUUGUCUGGGCGCUGUCAUUCGGUUGAUCAUUUACUGUGAGAAAAUUAGAGUGUUCAAGGCAGGCAUUAUUGCAAUUGAAUAUGUUAGCAUGGAAUAAUAAGAUAAGGCUUUCGGCUUAUUUUGUUGGUUUCUAGAUCGGAAGUAAUGAUUGAUAGGGAUAGUUGGGGGUGCUAGUAUUCAACGGCCAGAGGUGAAAUUCAUGGAUUCGUUGAAGACUAACUUAUGCGAAAGCAUU